UACGUAGGGGGCAAGCGUUGUCCGGAUUUACUGGGCGUAAAGAGCGUGUAGGCGGCCAAGCAGGUCCGUUGUGAAAACUGGAGGCUUAACCUCCAGACGUCGACGGAAACCGCGUGGCUAGAGUCCGGAAGAGGUGAGUGGAAUUCCUAGUGUAGAGGUGAAAUUCGUAGAUAUUAGGAAGAACACCAGUGGCGAAGGCGGCUCACUGGUCCGGCACUGUCGCUGAGGUGCGAAAGCGUGGGGAGCAAACAGG
Molecule: ribosomal RNA, 253 nt
Filed under: uncultured bacterium
Lineage: Bacteria
Description: partial 16S ribosomal RNA
Rfam family: Bacterial small subunit ribosomal RNA
Source: RNAcentral